CAAGGAAUUUUCGUCAAUGGGCGCAAGCCUGAACGAGCAACGCCGCGUGGAGGAUGACGGCCUUCGGGUUGUAAACUCCUUUUGGGGGGGACGAUAAUGACGGUACCCCUUGAAUAAGGCUCGGCUAACUCUGUGCCAGCAGCCGCGGUAAUACAGAGGAGCCAAGCGUUGUCCGGAUUGACUGGGCGUAAAGCGCACGCAGGCGGGUGCGCGCGUGGGGUGUGAAAUCUGGCCGCUUAACGGCCAGGCGCCAUCCCAUACGGCGCGCCUGGAGUGAUGCAGAGGUCGGUGGAAUUGCCGGUGUAGUGGUGAAAUGCGUAGAGAUCGGCAGGAACACCCAGGGGGAAACCAGCCGACUGGGCAUCUACUGACGCUGAGGUGCGAGAGCGUGGGGAGCGAACCGGAUUAGAUACCCGCGUAGUCC
This 424-nucleotide ribosomal RNA is filed under the name uncultured bacterium. Its description in RNAcentral is "bacterial SSU rRNA". It matches the Rfam family "Bacterial small subunit ribosomal RNA", at positions 355 to 796 of the family's 1533-position model. The record is from RNAcentral.